Bombina bombina (fire-bellied toad) is the source of this 1138-nucleotide long non-coding RNA. RefSeq lists it as uncharacterized. The transcript is spliced from 2 exons. Lineage: Eukaryota; Metazoa; Chordata; Amphibia; Anura; Bombinatoridae. The record is from RefSeq and is a predicted model, not a curated record.
UAUUAUAACAGCAUAAGUGUGGAUCAUUUGAUCCAUAAUCUGGUUUUCUAUAAAUAUAAUUCAAUGUGUUUAUAACUUUAACUAAUAUAAAGAAUUUAGGAAUAAAAUAUUGAUUUUAAUUGUUUUGUAUAUGCAUUUUAUUGGGGGUUUGUUUUAAAGAAUAAUUAUUAAAUAAAUUGUAUUAUAACCCGGCCAUAUACUGACAGAUUAAAAUAAUCAGGAUAAUGCAGGUAUUUUAAAAACCCUAAAAUAAUUUAUAAGAAAUGAACUGCUGAGUAUCAGGGAAGAAUUUAAACAAAAUACCCCUAUUGGGUCAGAGGUAAACUUCCCACAUAAACAGUCACCUUAAAUUCAGGGAACUGCUAUACUUCAGAGGGGGAGGGCAGCUCUAAUAGUGAGUCAGAGGGCAGAGCCAGCUACCCAGAUAGCCCAUAUAAUACCCUUUUCGACCCCUGUAGUUCUUAUAGUAAAUUUCCUUUCAGAACGUUUUUUGUAAGGGAAGGCUUAUCGUUCUAUUAAUGUUGUAAGAUCGGCCAUUUCAGCGGGUCAUUUCCCCAUUGACGGAGUUCCAGUGGAACGACACCCCCUUGUAUGCCGAAUUUUGAAAGCUAUUCAGCUGAAGGUUCCUCCUUCCUCUCGCUAUUCUCCUCUCUGGGAUAUUUCCAUCAUGCUCUGUUUCCUGAGGAGUUGGCCUCCUAAUGAAGAGCUAUCCCUUUGGCAGUUGUUGGGCCAAGUUGGCAAUGCUUCUCUGUCUUGUUUCCUUCUGUAGGAUUUCUGAUAUUUGGGCGUUGGAUGUCGAAGGUCUCUCCUUCUCUCCAGAGGGCGUCACUUUUCCAGUUUCCAGAUGCACUAAAUUGAAAUUCCGUGGAUUUUGCUCCUUCGUUCAUUCUGUAGACUGGUUCCUGUUGGCUCUUUUCCCCGAUAUCCUUUCUUUCAUCGUCCGCUGGAUGCACAUUUGUAUCGUUUUUCUUUAAUUUCGCUUUUUUCCAUCAAAGAAAAGAGGAAGUGCUAAUGUUGUGCUGUACAGUUUAUUAUGCUGCUGUAUUCUGAUUGGUUAUGCAUUGAUACUAUGUUAGUUUUCUUACUGUUCAGUUUUCCUUUGCUGCUGUUUGGGAAUAAGUAAAGAUUUGAUGCAAAA